AAUCGAGGCGUGGCUUCCGGUCCGCUUCCCGGAAGCAAGCGUCACGGACCUUAGGGCUGGAGGUUUUUCUUCUCCUAAUUUCUUAGUCGUAGUGCCUGGCCUCUGAAUAGUUUUGCAUCUGGUUCCGAUGCUGGGAACUGUUGCGUCUACGAGGUAAAAAAUAAAUUCAGCGUCCAUUUUGAAAUGGCUCCCCAGAACCCACAAAAUAAGAAAGUACUCAAAUCUAUUCCAUGUUUAGGAAUGUAGCCCAUGGACACUUGCACAUGCGCACAAGAAAGCUAAAGCCGCAUCCGCUUUGGGGAGAGGUGGGUGAAGAAAUAACGAAAAAUUGAAACCUUGUAGUCGUAUAGCCAUAGAGGGAGGACAAAAUAAACCUGGUCAUCCGCGUUAGGGAAUACCAUACGUUGGUGUUAAAAAGAACAAAGUAGAUUCUUGUGGAAAGAUAAAGAUGAGUUAAGCGAAGUGGGGGGUGGGGGGGAACCCAAGUUGCCGUAAACUACAUAUUUGUGCUUAUGUGCGUUUAAAUGCAAGGGGAAAAGCCUGAAAGGAAAGAACUAAUAAUAGCUCUGAGGAUAGGAACUUAGUCAAGAGCUACUUUAACUUCAUCUGUAUUGUUUUAAAUUGUUUACAAAUUAACGAUUUAAUAUAAGGUUUUAACAAAGGGAAAAA
Herpailurus yagouaroundi (jaguarundi) is the source of this 669-nucleotide long non-coding RNA. RefSeq lists it as uncharacterized. NCBI's taxonomy places the organism in Eukaryota, Metazoa, Chordata, Mammalia, Carnivora, Felidae. The record is from RefSeq and is a predicted model, not a curated record. The transcript has 2 exons.